CCACUUAAGGUUGGCUUAAUCUGUGUCAGGCAAACUCUCCUCCAGAGUAUCGGAGGAGAGUGUCAUGAAAAACCGCAUUUAUGAAAGUUUGACCACCGUGUGCAGCGUGCUGAUCGUCAGCAGCUUUUUGUACGUUUGGGUGAGUUCUUACUGACCUUUC
This 160-nucleotide small RNA is filed under the name Citrobacter braakii. The record is from RNAcentral. Lineage: Bacteria; Pseudomonadati; Pseudomonadota; Gammaproteobacteria; Enterobacterales; Enterobacteriaceae.